This 482-nucleotide ribosomal RNA is filed under the name Oxypiloidea tridens. Its description in RNAcentral is "eukaryotic LSU rRNA". It matches the Rfam family "Eukaryotic large subunit ribosomal RNA", at positions 1236 to 1668 of the family's 3401-position model. Lineage: Eukaryota; Metazoa; Arthropoda; Insecta; Mantodea; Hymenopodidae. The record is from RNAcentral.
GACAGCAGGACGGUGGCCAUGGAAGUCGGAAGCCGCUAAGGAGUGUGUAACAACUCACCUGCCGAAGCAACUAGCCCUGAAAAUGGAUGGCGCUAAAGCUCCGUGCCUAUACCCGGCCGCCGGUAGGCAUAGGCGUGAGCCGCUCUUCUGGGGCGGCGAGCGCGCGAAGCCCCGGCGAGUAGGAGGGCGCGGCGGUGUGCGCGGAAGGGUCUGGGCGCGAGCCUGCCUGGAGCCGCCGCCGGUGCAGAUCUUGGUGGUAGUAGCAAAUACUCAAGCGAGGGCCUUGAGGGCUGAUGUGGAGAAGGGUUUCGUGUGAACAGCCGUUGCACACGAGUCAGUCGAUCCUAAGCCCUAGGAGAAAUCCGAUGUCGAUGCGGGGGGCGGUUUUUACACGUGCUCCCCCUCGAUGGGCGAAAGGGAAUCCGGUUCCUAUUCCGGAACCCGGCAGCGGAACCGAAUCUACGGGCCCUCGUCAGAGAAGC